Molecule: ribosomal RNA, 357 nt
Filed under: uncultured Aquaspirillum BIWA122
Lineage: Bacteria; Pseudomonadati; Pseudomonadota; Betaproteobacteria; Neisseriales; Aquaspirillaceae
Description: bacterial SSU rRNA
Rfam family: Bacterial small subunit ribosomal RNA
Source: RNAcentral
GGCGGCAUGCUUACCAUGCAAGUCGAAGGCAGCACGGGAGCAAUCCUGGUGGCGAGUGGCGAAGGGUGAGUAAUAUAUCGGAACGUGCCCAGUCGUGGGGGAUAACGUAGCGAAAGCUACGCUAAUACCGCAUACGAUCUAUGGAUGAAAGCGGGGGAUCGCAAGACCUCCGCGAUUGGAACGGGCGAUAUCAGAUUAAGUAGUUGGUGAGGUAAAGGCUCACCAAGGCGACGAUCUGUAGCUGGUCUGAGAGGACGACCAGCCACACUGGGACUGAGACACGGCCCAGACUCCUACGGGAAGCAGCAGUGGGGAAUUUUGGACAAUGGGCGCAAGCCUGAUCCAGCAAUGCCGCGU